UGAAUGAAUCAUGCAUAAGAGUUGUGCUCUCCCUUAUAUAUGUUCAGAGAGGAACGUUUUAUUCUUGCAGUGUCAUUUCGUGGGAAGAUUUUUACAAUCUUCUUGCGGUAACCGUUCCCGUCCAUUACGCACUUGUGGUAACUAAAUAUUUGCUUGCUCAUGCGUGACCAAGCUAAAACAAUUUCCCAUAGGUAAAUUCUUUAGAGUAAAUGUAAUAUAACUAAACUAUGAUAUAUAAUAUAUAUAGUAAAAUGUAUUAAUGUAUAAUAUAAAAUGUUAUAAUAU
Molecule: non-coding RNA, 285 nt
Organism: Paramuricea clavata
Lineage: Eukaryota; Metazoa; Cnidaria; Anthozoa; Malacalcyonacea; Plexauridae
Source: the annotation of a GenBank genome assembly